RNAcentral lists this ribosomal RNA (113 nucleotides) under uncultured bacterium. Its description in RNAcentral is "partial 16S ribosomal RNA". It matches the Rfam family "Bacterial small subunit ribosomal RNA", at positions 1373 to 1482 of the family's 1533-position model. The record is from RNAcentral.
CCCGGGCCUUGUACACACCGCCCGUCAAGUCACGAAAGUUGGUAACACCCGAAGCCGGUGGCCUAACCACUUGUGGGAGGGAGCUGUCGAAGGUGGGACUGGCGAUUGGGACU